RNAcentral lists this ribosomal RNA (773 nucleotides) under uncultured Neocallimastigales. Its description in RNAcentral is "partial large subunit ribosomal RNA". It matches the Rfam family "Eukaryotic large subunit ribosomal RNA", at positions 20 to 614 of the family's 3401-position model. Lineage: Eukaryota; Fungi; Neocallimastigomycota; Neocallimastigomycetes; Neocallimastigales. The record is from RNAcentral.
ACUAGAGUAGCACUCGCAUAUCAAUAAGCGGAGGAAAAGAAACUAACAAGGAUUCCCCUAGUAACGGCGAGUGAAGCGGGAAGAGCUCAAAUUUGAAAUCUUAAAGGGUUUCCCUUUACGAAUUGUAGUUUAAAGAAGUGUUUUCUGUUGAGGUUUCGGUAAAAGUUCUUUGGAAUAGGACAUCAUAGAGGGUGAGAAUCCCGUAUUUGACCUUUACUUUCAACUUUGUGAUACACUUUCAAAGAGUCGGAUUGUUUGGGAAUGCAGUCCAAAAUGGGUGGUAAAUUUCAUCUAAAGCUAAAUAUUGGCGAGAGACCGAUAGCGAACAAGUACCGUGAGGGAAAGAUGAAAAGAACUUUGAAAAGAGAGUUAAACAGUACGUGAAAUUGUCAAAAGGGAAGCGUUUGACACCAGUGUUGUUUUUCUGAAAAUCAAUUAAAGAACUGUUUAUGCUAAGCUGUUUAGACUUUAUCAGCUAUCUGUUUAGUUUUGAGCUUUUCUUUAAUGCACUUUUCAGUUAACAAGUCAACAUCAAUUUCUUUUGCUGUAAAAAAGCUUGAGGAAGGUGGCUUGAGAUUCGUCUUAAGUGUUUAUAGCCUCUUGCCUAUGCAGUCGGAGAGAUUGAGGUCUGCAGCGUAGAUCCUUCGGGGCUAAAUGCAUUUGUGCUAAGUUAUAGCAUUUUAUAGACAACUUGUUGACUAUGAUUUGUCUUGUAGCUUACUCGCUUAUGUUAUUUUACCUACGCUUAGGAUGUUGAGUCAUCACACAUCUCU